GACGAACGCUGGCGGCGUGCUUAACACAUGCAAGUCGAACGGAAAGGCCCUGCUUUUGUGGGGUGCUCGAGUGGCGAACGGGUGAGUAAAACGUGAGUAACCUGCCCUUGACUUUGGGAUAACUUCAGGAAACUGGGGCUAAUACCGGAUAGGAGCUCCUGCUGCAUGGUGGGGGUUGGAAAGUUUCGGCUGUGGGGGAUGGACUCGCGGCUUAUCAGCUUGUUGGUGGGGUAGUGGAUUACCAAGGCUUUGACGGGUAGCCGGCCUGAGAGGGUGACCGGCCACCUUGGGACUGAGAGACGGCCCAGACUCCUACGGGCGGCAGCAGUGGGGAGUAUUGCACAAUGGGCGGAAGCCUGAUGCGGCAACGCCGCGUGCGGGAUGACGGCCUUCGGGUUGUAAACCGCUUUCGCCUGUGCCGAAGCGUGAGUGACGGUAAUGGGUAAAGAAGCACCGGCUAACUACGUG
This 468-nucleotide ribosomal RNA is filed under the name uncultured bacterium. RNAcentral's name for it is "partial 16S ribosomal RNA". It matches the Rfam family "Bacterial small subunit ribosomal RNA", at positions 28 to 507 of the family's 1533-position model. The record is from RNAcentral.